This is a non-coding RNA of Schistosoma margrebowiei, 45 nucleotides long. NCBI's taxonomy places the organism in Eukaryota, Metazoa, Platyhelminthes, Trematoda, Strigeidida, Schistosomatidae. The record is from Rfam.
AUCCAGUCGACGAGUUCCAAAUAGGAUGAAACGCCCGUCCUGGAU